UACGUAGGGCGCAAGCGUUAUCCGGAAUUAUUGGGCGUAAAGAGCUCGUAGGCGGUUUUGUCGCGUCUGCCGUGAAAGUCCGGGGCUCAACUCCGGAUCUGCGGUGGGUACGGGCAGACUAGAGUGAUGUAGGGGAGACUGGAAUUCCUGGUGUAGCGGUGAAAUGCGCAGAUAUCAGGAGGAACACCGAUGGCGAAGGCAGGUCUCUGGGCAUUAACUGACGCUGAGGAGCGAAAAGCAUGGGGGAGCGAACAGG
RNAcentral lists this ribosomal RNA (256 nucleotides) under uncultured bacterium. RNAcentral describes it as "partial 16S ribosomal RNA". It matches the Rfam family "Bacterial small subunit ribosomal RNA", at positions 524 to 776 of the family's 1533-position model. The record is from RNAcentral.